Molecule: long non-coding RNA, 2110 nt
Organism: Oncorhynchus keta (chum salmon)
Lineage: Eukaryota; Metazoa; Chordata; Actinopteri; Salmoniformes; Salmonidae
Exons: 4
Source: RefSeq, a predicted model, not a curated record
GACAAGGUCAGCAUCUGUCGUUCUGCAGCCCGAACAAGGCAGUUAACCCACUAUUCCUAGGCCAUCAUUGAAAAUAAGAUUUGUUCUUAAUUACUACAUUAAGCUCGAUCUCAUCCAGAUCAUGGCAUUUGUUGUUCUUUAUGAUAGCCACAUUACCACUCAAUUUGCAUUUCCUUUUGGGGGUAAAUAUAUUGAUAAAAGUCACCUUGUCCUAGAGCGAUUUAUCAAAAUGUCAUGCCAGCGUAAGCCUACAUGGAACACAGCCCUUAUUUUUAAGUGUUUCUAAAAAAUAAAAAAUAAAAAAACUAUUGUAAAAAGAAUGGUGGAAAAACUGUUGGAAUCCUUUCCCGUUUGACUUCUAGGUUUUACUGGUAUUAUCACUCGUGUGGUACUGGUGCCGCAUUCAAAACAACUGGGAACUCGGAAACAUACGAGGUCAAAUCAUGACAUCAAUUGAUCUUCAGGCGCUUUUGUAAAAAGGUGGUGGAGAUUUCCAACUGUCGUAAUCAAACACUCCCGGAAGAAGGUCAUGCGCCAUAGAAUACUCGAGAUUCAAUUUACAUGAGCAUGCUGGGUGUUUCUAUGCAGUCAUCUAAAAACGGAUCGAAUUUGUCGAGAAACCACACCAAUAUGUGUAUAACGGGGACCGUGCGAUCUUUCCUUAGCGAGACAUCUAACUCGCCUGGUGACAAAAGGGUCUUAUUCUACAAACAGUAACGUGAAAACAUGCUGCGGUCGCUUUGGUAAAGUUGUCUCAUCAAUGACAGGAGCCGGGAGGCUAGCGAAACUCAACCAAUGGACCAGGAUUACAGGUUUCUUUGCCGGGGAAAGAAAGAUUUUGGGCUGCGGGGCUUCAGCCAGUUACAACCAUAUAAGAUUGUUUGGCAACGAAGCAGCAGCAUUGGCUUCUCCGGGGAAGACCUCUCGGAGAGCAGCGGGUCGGGGGGGAAACCGUACAACUCCCCCUAGAUGACAGCUCUCACUCCCAUGCUGGUGCCUGAAGUGUUCCCCAACGUGCCACCACUGAUCGCCGUCACUAGGAACCUGGUUUUCCCAAGGUUCAUCAAGAUUAUCGAGGUGAAUAACAAACAGCUUAUGGAUCUUCUGAGGAGGAAAGGCCAACUGGCCCAACCAUAUGCUGGAGUGUUCCUGAAGAAAGAUGAUGCUAAUGACUGAUGUGGUGGAGAGUCGUCUCGAUGCCAUCUACAACACAGGAACCUUUGUACAGAUCCAUGAGAUGCAGGACCUUUGGUGACAAGCUGAGGAUGAUAGUCAUGGGCCAUCAAAGAAUCUGCAUCAUCAAGCAGAUGGAGGUGGAGCCGGAUGAGCCUGCCACUGCUGCCUCUGAGCCUGCGUCUGACACUGAACCAGGGAGCCAGCCCUAGGCCCCACACCGGAAGGCCAAGAGAUAAGAGCGUAAAGAGCCAGCCACCCUGGCUAAAACCAUGGAUUAGAAGGAGCAGACCUGAUCGUAGAGUCACUCCCUCUGCCCUCCAAGGAUAUCCUUAUGGCUUAUCUCUCCUGGCUCUUUUCCAAUAUAUUCUCACAAGUACACCACCUAGAUACAGUGGUUGCGCCACUAAAAGUUUUGCGAUUAUGCUGCGGUACUUAGAGGUAAUUUGUGGUUUAGUACAGUACCCUGCCUCACUACAUUGCUCCAGACCAGCGCAAGGGGGAGUUGGAGCACUGAUUAUGCUUUUGGGUCCUACCGUGUCUCUAACUGAUGAUGAAUGGGUGACAUAAACCUAAAUAGAAUAGGUUUGAUAUAGAAUAGGUUGAUAAAUGUGCACGACUUUAGUAUUACCUACUAAAACUGUUGUUACACUAAGGUUUUUAUUAUUUUAUUUUGUUAGGAUUAUUUUGCUCUUACUGUAGUACUGUAGCCCACUCCCGACCAGUCACGCUGUACAGAGCAUGAGUGGCACAAUGGUCUUAGACACUGCAUAGCAAUGGAAGCUGUGUUGCUACAAAUGCUGGUUCAAUACCCAUGCCGGCCUCGACUGAGAGACCAAUAAGGAGAUUGUCGGUUUUUGUUUUCUCUCCCUCUAAAAACAGAAAUAAAUCAUUCUAAAUAACAAAUUGGCAUUAUUUACAAAUUAGUAACAAUGUC